UUUUUUUUUUUUUUUUGGUGUUUGGAGUCUUUUUCUUUCGUUUAUGUGCAUAAUGGAUCUCGGUUCGCGUGAGGAUGAUGGUGAGUUUGCGGAGAAAGACCCGACUGGUCGAUACAUUCGGGUAUGUAUUAUUUGAAAUUAUCCCUUUUUUUGGCCAAGAAAAUUGAACUAAUUGAAGAUGAAGUUGAAUUUCUUUAACUAUCUUGUUUUUGUUACUCGAAAGUAAAUAUCAAUUUGAUAGUGUGAAAUGAUUUGCUUAAGCUCAGCUCAAUAGAGACUAUGGAAAUGAAUUAGGAAACAGGGACUAGUUAAAGGUCAUGAUUUGUGUUUAAUGAAAGUGUGAUUCCUGGCAUUAGGAACUCGAUGUCUUGUUUGUCUUAUUGGAAGUACUGUUUUGGUGAAUUGGCUUUUUUGCUUACUGUUUUUGUUUUGUUUUAUUUUUACUCCUUCAGUAUGAUGAAAUAUUGGGGAGAGGUGCAUUCAAGACUGUGUAUGGUUCUUCAACCUAUCUUCUUUACUUACCUUUAUUUUAGCUCUAGUGAUCUUCUGUUCGCCCCUUUAGCUUUGUAAAAAGAAUCUAUUUGCUGACUUGGCAUUUUCCUCCCUUGGAUCACUUCUUUUAUUAUGAUUAGAUAUAAAGCAUUCGAUGAAGUUGAUGGAAUUGAAGUUGCCUGGAACCAAGUGAGGAUUGAAGAUGUGUUGCAGUCACCCGACCAGCUGGAAAGAUUAUAUUCAGAGGUUCAUCUGAUUAAGUCACUGAAACAUGAAAAUAUCAUGAAAUUCUAUCACUCUUGGGUGGAUGAUAAGAAUAAGACAAUCAAUAUGAUAACAGAACUUUUCACUUCAGGGAGUUUGAGGCAGUACCGCAAGAAGCAUAAGAAUGUUGAUGUCAAGGCCACCAAAAAUUGGGCAAGACAGAUCCUUCGAGGUUUACAAUAUUUGCAUGGUCACAAUCCUCCUAUCAUUCAUCGUGAUUUGAAAUGUGACAAUGUAUUUGUUAAUGGAAACAAUGGGGAAGUUAAAAUUGGAGAUCUUGGACUAGCAAUUGUCAUGCAGCAGCCUACAGCCCGAAGUGUUAUAGGCACUCCUGAAUUCAUGGCUCCAGAGCUCUAUGAAGAGGAAUACAAUGAACUUGUUGACGUCUAUUCUUUUGGCAUGUGCAUGUUAGAAAUGGUUACCUGUGAAUACCCAUAUAGUGAAUGCAAGAACCCAGCACAAAUAUAUAAGAAGGUUACCUUGGGUAUAAAGCCUGCUUCUCUUGGUAAAGUGAGUGACCCCCAGGUCAAGCAGUUCAUAGAGAAGUGUCUAGUUCCAGCAUCUAUGAGAUUGUCUGCAACAGAACUCUUGAAAGAUCCAUUCCUAGCAACUGAAAAUUCUAAGGAAAUUGUUCCUGUAUCUCUGCGGAUAGCAGAUCUUAUGUCCAAACAAGUCAACACACUGCAAUCAGAAUCUCAUCCCAUGGAUAUUGACAGUAACAUCAAAAAACUUUCAAUAGGUUCUUGUACAAAAAGCAUGGAUGAGGUUCUGCCUUUCUCAACUCUAGAAUUGCGUAGGUUCACUGAGAACAAUGAGUUCAGGUUAAGAGGAGAGAAAAAUGGUGAUAAUACUAUUUCAUUGACUCUGCGCAUUGUGGAACGAUUUGGUGGUGGAGUAAAGAAUAUCCAUUUUACUUUUUAUCUGGAUACUGAUACUACAUUUUCAAUAGCUGAAGAGAUGGUUGAACAACUUGAUUUGUCAAAUGAAGAUGUGGCUAUCAUUGCCGAGUUGAUUGAUGCCUUGGUGAUGAAGGUUGUUCCUUGCUGGAGUCCUUCAUUUGUAAGUACAUCUUCUGGAGAACAAAAUGAUGCAGCUUCCAAGGCAGUUAGCGAAAAUGAUUUCUUGCCUUUGGUUAAUGUGAUUGGCCAAGAGACUCGAGAAUCAUUCAAUUCAGGCAUAUCUGCUGAAUUUCAUAUGACAAUCGCCUCUGAUGCCAGCACUAACAAGCCCUUGGAAUCUUCCUACUGCACUGUUCAAUUGAAUACAGCUGAUUUUGGGAUGCAUGUUGAUGGUAUAUCUAAAUAUGCUAAAUCCAUAAAAAAUUCAGAGAAUACUCCUCCUGACCUGAAGAUGGAGCUUGAUGCCAUUGAUAUGCAAUAUAAUCAGUGCUUCCAAGAACUCUUGAGGAUGAGGGAGGAAGCUAUAGAAAAUGCCAAAAAGAAGUGGAUAACAAAGAAGAAGAUACCCGUCAUGUGAUAUGCUAGAUUUCUUAGGAUUUUUUUCUCCUUUGCUCUACUGGUAAGACAGGCAUUGGAAGUGGCCAUUUUUUGGCACCUUCCUGUUUCAUUUUUUUAUUUGGAUGCUUGUUGACCAGUUGAUUUAACUUUGAUCAUAGCUAUUUUCUUGUAUAUAGAGAAUUGGGGCACUCAAGGGUGCAACUUAAUUCAUUCAUUAAUGGUAUAUUUUAUCCAUCCACUCCAAAUGAAGAAGAUAUAUAUUAGCACUUUUCAUUUAAAGCAGAUAUGAAAGUAACAUUGAUAUAGAGUAAGCAUGGUCUGGAAGUAAAUAGGUGUCAUGAGCCCUUUAAUACAAUCACCGUCUUCCAAGAAAAUAUUUGGAAGACGAAUUAGGUUCCUUCCAAGCUCAAAGCUGUACUGGUCAAUUCAGUUACGUGGUUGGUUCCUUGCCUGGCCAGCUCCCUUUUAUGCUUCCCCGUCUCUGUUACAAGCACCUUUUUUU
This 2715-nucleotide unclassified non-coding RNA is filed under the name Hevea brasiliensis (rubber tree). The record is from RNAcentral. Lineage: Eukaryota; Viridiplantae; Streptophyta; Magnoliopsida; Malpighiales; Euphorbiaceae.